GUUGGGCAUGGUGGUGCGUGCUUGUAAUCCCAGCUACUCAGGAGGCUGAGGCAGGAGAAUCACUUGAACCCAGGAAGCGGAGGUUGCAGUGAGCUGGAUAGCGUCACUGCACUCCAGCCUGGGUGACAGAGUGAGACUCUGUCUCAA
RNAcentral lists this non-coding RNA (147 nucleotides) under Nomascus leucogenys (northern white-cheeked gibbon). The record is from Rfam by way of RNAcentral. Lineage: Eukaryota; Metazoa; Chordata; Mammalia; Primates; Hylobatidae.